RNAcentral lists this transfer RNA (73 nucleotides) under Camelus dromedarius (Arabian camel). It matches the Rfam family "tRNA". Rfam says of the family: Transfer RNA (tRNA) molecules are approximately 80 nucleotides in length. Their secondary structure includes four short double-helical elements and three loops (D, anti-codon, and T loops). RNAcentral also lists the same sequence under 1 other name. The record is from Rfam by way of RNAcentral. Lineage: Eukaryota; Metazoa; Chordata; Mammalia; Artiodactyla; Camelidae.
GAGGGUGUAGCUCAAGUGGUAGAGUGCAUGCUUAGCACGCACGAGGUCCUGGGUUCAGCCCCCAGGACCUCCA